Pongo abelii (Sumatran orangutan) is the source of this 148-nucleotide unclassified non-coding RNA. It matches the Rfam family "Metazoan signal recognition particle RNA". From Rfam's summary of the family: The signal recognition particle (SRP) is a universally conserved ribonucleoprotein. It is involved in the co-translational targeting of proteins to membranes. NCBI's taxonomy places the organism in Eukaryota, Metazoa, Chordata, Mammalia, Primates, Hominidae. The record is from Ensembl.
GCCGGGCAUGGUGGCUCAUGCCUGUAAUCCCAGGUACUUGGGAGGCUGAGGCAGGAGGACUGCUUGAGCCCAGGAGUUUGAGGCUGUAGUGAGCUAUGAUUCCCCCACUGCAGUCCAAUCUGGGUAACAGAGCAAGACCCUGUCUCAU